CGGAGAGUAGUUCAGAUGGCUAGAACGUACGCUUUGGGAGCGUAAGGUCGCAGGUUCGAGUCCUGUCUCUCCGA
This 74-nucleotide transfer RNA is filed under the name candidate division TM6 bacterium GW2011_GWF2_28_16. RNAcentral describes it as "tRNA-Pro". It matches the Rfam family "tRNA". Rfam says of the family: Transfer RNA (tRNA) molecules are approximately 80 nucleotides in length. Their secondary structure includes four short double-helical elements and three loops (D, anti-codon, and T loops). Further hydrogen bonds mediate the characteristic L-shaped molecular structure. tRNAs have two regions of fundamental functional importance: the anti-codon, which is responsible for specific mRNA codon recognition, and the 3' end, to which the tRNAs corresponding amino acid is attached (by aminoacyl-tRNA synthetases). tRNAs cope with the degeneracy of the genetic code in two manners: having more than one tRNA (with a specific anti-codon) for a particular amino acid; and 'wobble' base-pairing, i.e. permitting non-standard base-pairing at the 3rd anti-codon position. RNAcentral also lists the same sequence under 2 other names. The record is from RNAcentral.